GACCUUAUGACACUGAUGUGGAACUGGUCCUCGCGAAGGCCCCGCCAGGCUCCGGGCAGGAAUUCCUUACACCACAGAUACCCGAGACCUGACAUCUUUGCUAUCAAAAUACUAAAGAACCAUAGGAGGGACUACCUAGUUCUCCUGGGAUAAAAGGGUCUCAUCUAACCCAGGCCAGUUGGUUGCCUUAAUCACCCAAUGUAGAUGAGAAUGGCCUUGAACACCAAAUCAACUUUCUUCUACCUCUCAAGUGCUGGCAUUAUGUGUGUACCAACAUGCAUAGCUUCCAAUAACAUUUCAGUAAGAAUUUAAACUGUAAGACUUAGUUCUUCAGUUCUAUACGUACAGCAGCAUACAAGAGGCUAUAGUGGGAAAUACCAGAGGAGAAAGACAUCAUCAUUGUUUUGGUUUGUUUUUUUUAAUUUUGUUUUUUUUUUUUUUUGAGACAAGGGUUCUCUGUACCCUGGCUGUCCUAGAACUCACUGUUUACACAGUGGGGUGGCGACAGUGGGGAUGUAGGGCUUCACAGAAUAUAUGCGUAACCUGCAAGGUCCUCAGCUCUACCCUCAGCAUCACGGAAAAAGUUAAACUCACUCAAAGAUACAGAAAAAUAAGCUAGACAUGACUUAAAUGGAGGCAGGUGAACACAAUGACUGAGAGUCAGCGUGUGUGUGUGUGUGUGUGUGUGUGUGUGUGUGUGUGUGUGUGUGUAGAGGUCAGAGGGCAACUUUCUCCUUCCAUCAUGUGGAUUUCAGGAAUCAAGUUCAGGCCAUCAAGUUUUGCAGCAAUUGCCUACCUACCAAGCCAUCUCACUUGACUGAGGUAGGCAGUUUUAACAGGGUUUGUGUGUCUUUUAUUUUCUGAAACGUGUUCAUUCCAAUCUCAGAUGUCGCCCAAGUACCCCAAUUUUCACAAUGUCAAACUACUUAAAAGCUAAAAGCAACAUAAAAUGACUCUACUUAUACUAUUUUCCUUGGGGUGUGCCUCUCCUGAGAUGACCUUUGUUUCUCACUCUCUAACUAGACUGCCUCAUAAACAAAG
Molecule: long non-coding RNA, 1041 nt
Organism: Mus pahari (shrew mouse)
Lineage: Eukaryota; Metazoa; Chordata; Mammalia; Rodentia; Muridae
Exons: 4
Source: RefSeq, a predicted model, not a curated record